This 1470-nucleotide ribosomal RNA is filed under the name metagenome. RNAcentral's name for it is "bacterial SSU rRNA". It matches the Rfam family "Bacterial small subunit ribosomal RNA". The record is from RNAcentral.
AGAGUUUGAUCCUGGCUCAGGACGAACGCUGGCGGCACGCUUAACACAUGCAAGUCGAACGAGAGAAGAGGAGCUUGCUUUUCUGAUCUAGUGGCGGACGGGUGAGUAACACGUGAGCAAUCUGCCUUUCAGAGGGGGAUACCGAUUGGAAACGAUCGUUAAUACCGCAUAACAUAAUUGAACCGCAUGAUUUGAUUAUCAAAGAUUUAUCGCUGAAAGAUGAGCUCGCGUCUGAUUAGCUAGUUGGUAAGGUAACGGCUUACCAAGGCGACGAUCAGUAGCCGGACUGAGAGGUUGAUCGGCCACAUUGGGACUGAGACACGGCCCAGACUCCUACGGGAGGCAGCAGUGGGGAAUAUUGCACAAUGGAGGAAACUCUGAUGCAGCGAUGCCGCGUGAGGGAAGAAGGUUUUAGGAUUGUAAACCUCUGUCUUCAGGGACGAAAAAAGACGGUACCUAAGGAGGAAGCUCCGGCUAACUACGUGCCAGCAGCCGCGGUAAUACGUAGGGAGCGAGCGUUGUCCGGAAUUACUGGGUGUAAAGGGAGCGUAGGCGGGAUCGCAAGUCAGAUGUGAAAACUAUGGGCUUAACCCAUAAACUGCAUUUGAAACUGUGGUUCUUGAGUGAAGUAGAGGUAAGCGGAAUUCCUAGUGUAGCGGUGAAAUGCGUAGAUAUUAGGAGGAACAUCAGUGGCGAAGGCGGCUUACUGGGCUUUAACUGACGCUGAGGCUCGAAAGCGUGGGGAGCAAACAGGAUUAGAUACCCUGGUAGUCCACGCCGUAAACGAUGAUUACUAGGUGUGGGGGGACUGACCCCUUCCGUGCCGCAGCAAACGCAAUAAGUAAUCCACCUGGGGAGUACGACCGCAAGGUUGAAACUCAAAGGAAUUGACGGGGGCCCGCACAAGCAGUGGAGUAUGUGGAUUAAUUCGAAGCAACGCGAAGAACCUUACCAGGUCUUGACAUCGUAUGCAUAGCUCAGAGAUGAGUGAAAUCUCUUCGGAGACAUAUAGACAGGUGGUGCAUGGUUGUCGUCAGCUCGUGUCGUGAGAUGUUGGGUUAAGUCCCGCAACGAGCGCAACCCUUACUGUUAGUUGCUACGCAAGAGCACUCUAGCAGGACUGCCGUUGACAAAACGGAGGAAGGUGGGGAUGACGUCAAAUCAUCAUGCCCCUUAUGACCUGGGCCUCACACGUACUACAAUGGCUGUCAACAGAGGGAAGCAAAGCCGCGAGGUGGAGCGAACCCCUAAAAGCAGUCUUAGUUCGGAUUGUAGGCUGCAACCCGCCUACAUGAAGUCGGAAUUGCUAGUAAUCGCAGAUCAGCAUGCUGCGGUGAAUACGUUCCCGGGCCUUGUACACACCGCCCGUCACGCCAUGGGAGUCGGUAACACCCGAAGCCUGUAGUCUAACCGCAAGGAGGACGCAGUCGAAGGUGGGAUUGAUGACUGGGGUGAAGUCGUAACAAGGUA